Non-coding RNA from Sus scrofa (pig), 602 nucleotides. Lineage: Eukaryota; Metazoa; Chordata; Mammalia; Artiodactyla; Suidae. The record is from RefSeq and is a predicted model, not a curated record.
UGAGAGCCAAGAAAUGAGGUCUUUUAAGGCCAGUCUGAAUAUAAACUCUGCUGAAAACAGCGGGACGGCGAGGCCGGACCCCUCUUCCAACUUCGGCUGAGCCUCCGGGCGGCGGCGUGUCCAAUCACCCUCCCCGUCGUCCCCGGAUCAGAAGUUUCAACCCGUCCCCGGGAAACAAAGGAGGCGCCUGCACCGACCUUAUAGACUUGUCCAUAGGUGCCAUUUCCCACCACUUCCACCAGCUCGAAAAUCCCAGCCGGAUCCUAAGGAAGAGAGGAGGAUGGGCUACACCGAGGACCUGGUUAGGUUCGGGAUUCACGGAGCAUCAUUUGUUUUGGCUGCCCGGUCCGGAGACUUUCGCUGGAAACUGAAUCUCAAACAGCUCCUCUAAUUGCCUUGUGUUGAGUACCUCGCUCAGUAAAGGACCAGGAACUGAACCCUCUCCACAGAAGUAACCAGCGCCCCUUCAGUGAAAACACUGGAUCCUUAACCCACUGCACCACCAGGGAACUCCAGAAACCAUCUCUACAAGCUUUCUCUAAAUCUCUCUCCCAAGCUGCUGUUUCCCAUAUCACCAUUGUGAUGGUUAUUUCCCACUUUCA